UGAACCCUAAUGUAAAUUAUGAACUUUAGUUAAUAAUAAUGUUUCAAUAUUGGUUCAUCACUUGUAACAAACGAACCACACCAAUGCAAGAUGUUGAUAAGGGGAAACUG
Balaenoptera musculus (blue whale) is the source of this 110-nucleotide long non-coding RNA. RefSeq lists it as uncharacterized. The record is from RefSeq and is a predicted model, not a curated record. NCBI's taxonomy places the organism in Eukaryota, Metazoa, Chordata, Mammalia, Artiodactyla, Balaenopteridae. The transcript is spliced from 3 exons.